This 1365-nucleotide long non-coding RNA is filed under the name Gouania willdenowi (blunt-snouted clingfish). Its description in RNAcentral is "lncRNA (ENSGWIG00000014279.1)". The record is from RNAcentral. Lineage: Eukaryota; Metazoa; Chordata; Actinopteri; Blenniiformes; Gobiesocidae.
GUGAAGAGAAUUGAAGAAGAAAUGUCAAAGUUGACAAAGAAAGGAACAACUCCAAGUAAUGUUGUACCCCUGCUAACUAGUCCCAUUGUUACUCAGCCACCUGAACUCACUAUACGGAGAGAGUUUAAAAUCAACGGACAAAUAGGAGAAAGGGGUCAGAGAGAUAAACUGUCUUACUCUAAUCUCAUCCAUCAGAUCGAAAUUGGACUGAAAAGAAACCACAGUGAGGCUGAGAUUAUUGAAGCAGUCGUCAGGGCAAUAAGUCCGGGUCUGAGCCUCCGCAACAUGUUGGAGAUUAAAACUGACCUCACACUUUCACAACUGCGCACGAUACUAAAAGGCCAUUACAAAGAAGAUAGCUCGACUGAUUUGUAUCAUCGGCUAAUAAAUAUCACACAAGACUCUAACGAAUCUCCCCAAAACUUCCUAUUCAAGGCAAUAGAGCUUAAAGAAAGACUUUUAGCCUCAUCUAGAGAGCCUGGCGCAGAAGAACAGUACAGUCCUGACCUUGUCCAGAAGAAAUUUCUAAGAGCUGUUGGUACUGGACUAAUAAGUGACAAUGUGAAAUACCAGCUCAAAAAUUACUUGGACGAUCUCACCGUCACUGAUGAUAUCCUGAUAGCGAAAACAAAUGAAGCAGCUAGCAUCGAAUGGGAAAGACAACAAAAGUUCAAAAGACACAGUAGAGAACUGAAAGUGAGAGAAAUUAGAGCAGAAACACAGUUAGUCCCAGAAGCAGUAGGUGGGCAUGAAGGGUCACCUUCCACCUGUACAAAAGUUAAAAGUAUAAAAGCCCAACAAACAGUGUCUCGCACGGAAACUGAACUUUUUGAUGCAAUUAAACAGCUCAAAGGGGAGAUGGACGAAAUGAAGAAGCUCAUUUAUGAAUCUCCGAGACCUGCUGCCCAACAACGAAUGAAUAGAAAGCGCGGCUGUAAAAACUGCCAGGACAGCGACAGGGGAGAUCGAUGUGAUCAUUGCUUCAAAUGUGGACUAAGUGGUCAUCUUUCACGGGGAUGUAGGACCAGAAGGGGCCCUACUGACAAGUCAGGACAGGUAGAUAUGUCAGCCAGCACUGUAACAUCCAUAUUAUCACCACCUGUAGAAAACAAAAAACAGAGUGAUGAGCCUGAAGAUGUUCACAAGCUAAUCACUGACAGUAUUCAGCAUUUAGAAAUGAAAAUAGCUGAUACAGUCGCACAGAGAGGUGAAGUUGUCCGUGUUAAUCUCCUGUCCCCGACACGAAGACAAAGGUUGCUCAAUCUAAUUGGGAAGAAAUAUGUUAUCGCUUGUCUUUUGGAUGAAGUAGAGACAAAGGCUUUAUGGGAUACUGGAUCACAGGUAUGCCUAAUAAAUGAAAAAUGG